Molecule: ribosomal RNA, 72 nt
Filed under: Corchorus olitorius
Lineage: Eukaryota; Viridiplantae; Streptophyta; Magnoliopsida; Malvales; Malvaceae
Description: small subunit ribosomal RNA
Source: RNAcentral
GAUGACGUCAAGUCCGCAUGGCCCUUAUGGGCUGGGCCACACACGUGCUACAAUGGCAAUGACAAUGGGAAG